Molecule: long non-coding RNA, 468 nt
Organism: Lycium barbarum (goji berry)
Lineage: Eukaryota; Viridiplantae; Streptophyta; Magnoliopsida; Solanales; Solanaceae
Exons: 2
Source: RefSeq, a predicted model, not a curated record
UCUUCUUUUCCUUUCAGCUUAACCUGUUGAUGAUCAAGAUUUCAAGUCCAACAAAAAAGAUCAAAAAAAAAAAAAGAAGAAGAAGAAGAAGAGAGAGACGAGUUAAUGCACAAGAUUUUAGUGAAAGAGUACUAGCUAGGAAAGAAGGGAAGUAGACGGAGAGUACAAAUUACUACCUCUUUCGAGAUUUCCAAGGAAGCCAUUGAUGAUAGACUCAAAAGGUUACUUCAAAGGGGAGAAGUUUUAUGGUGGAAAUGAAGAAAGCAAACUGGUUGAGAGUUAAAAUGAGUAACUAAAAGUGAGUGAACAUCUGUAUUUAUAGAGAGGUUUUAGACACUGAGGGUCAUUUGGCAGCUGGUUAGAGUAUGUAUUAUUUUAAGUAGGGAUUAGUUACGCAGGGUUUAGUUAUUCAUGUAUUAGUUAUUUCACCUUCGAUCCUGUAUAAAUAAUAUAUAGAUUUCCUCAUAA